AACAGUGACAUGUAUCUCAGCCC
This 23-nucleotide non-coding RNA is filed under the name Cricetulus griseus (Chinese hamster). Lineage: Eukaryota; Metazoa; Chordata; Mammalia; Rodentia; Cricetidae. The record is from RNAcentral.